Molecule: unclassified non-coding RNA, 263 nt
Filed under: plant metagenome
Description: partial contains small subunit ribosomal RNA, internal transcribed spacer 1, and 5.8S ribosomal RNA
Source: RNAcentral
UUUCCGUAGGUGAACCUGCGGAAGGAUCAUUAUUGUAUAACCGAGGUGCGAGGGCUGUCGCUGACCCGAAAUGUCGUGCACGCCCGAGUGCCCUCACACACAUCCACCUCACCCCUAUGUGCACCACCGCGUGGGUCACCCUUUGGCUUGUUCGGAGGGGGGCUUACGUUUUCACACAAACUUUGUAUGCAGUGUAGAAUGUAUUUUUUGUUUUUGCGAUCACGCAAUCAAUACAACUUUCAACAACGGAUCUCUUGGCUCUC